GUGAAUCCCAAGAAAACCUUGGUCAAGUAACUGUCCAGCAAUGUCUAUGAAGAUUAUGAAGGGGGGUUUCAUGUAAGAUUAAAGAGAACAGUUGAAGUCAUCAGUACUACUACCCAGAAUGGGUCAAUUUACAUCUAUAUAAUCAUACAUAUACAUGGUUUGGACAAAAUGACGACAUCCAUCCCUCUAUAUCUUAACAUUCAGUGUUGCACUUCAAAGGAUUAAUGUUUCACCACACCCAGUAAGAUGCGCACCAUAUAUCAUCGAUGCUGGCAAGAGUAUCUACCUUGAAGAGAAAAUGCUUCAACUCAUAUAAAACUUCAGUUUGAACCACUUGCAGCACACGGGGAUUGCCUACUAUCCUCAUUUAAAGAAUGAAUACCAUCACUCUCAGGUAUAUGCUGCUCAGCAUCUCUGAUAGGUAAAGUAGUGUCCAGUAUAUUUGAUUCAGCAGAACUGGUUCUGCUAUCUGUAGUUUCCAGAUGGUCCAUCAUGUGUGAUACAGUGGCAACAGCUGCCCUCACUUCAUUCCUAGGUUCGGGAACAUUGUCUGAUGUUGAACUGUUGCGAGAGAAAAAUCUCUCCUUCCAACCCCUUGAACUCUUGGUUAAAGAUUCUUUGCAUCUCAUUGACAUUGCACUAAACCGAGACUUCAUAGAAUCUGAAAAAGACUGAAAAUCUGAUGGUCCGGCUCUGUCUUGAUUGUUAGUAGAAGAUUGAGAAGGAUUCCUCCUAUUAUGUGACGAAGUCCCAAGUUGAUUAACAGCAGUAUUUGAUCCUGACCCAGAGGCAGAAACCUCAUCAGCUUGAAAAGGAGGUUGAGAAAGUAGUUGUCCCGAACCUUCUCCAACAGCAAUAACUGGAGAAUCCUGACCAGAAACCGAGACUUCAGGAGUGGGUUCACCCCCACUCCUCUGGUUAGAAGAUGAAGCAGGAACAGCAGCAGCAGCAGGAGCAUUUGGAUGAGUUGAAAACACCAGAUAUUGGGGACGAACUUGAGCUGAGGACCUACCUCGCGGACCUUCCCUUCUAGCAAUGUGCCGUGCCCUUCCCAUGGCAGCCGCAGCAGCUAAGUGCUGAAUGAUACGCUCUUCAAGCUCAGAGUCAGUUGCGCUUACCGGUAAAUGCUGCAACUCAAAAUCUCCUAAAGUUGGAUGGUGGAAGAUUGUGGUGUUUCUAGGAGGAUUCAUCCUGAUGUUCCUCUCGUGCUCUACUGCAUCCAACAAUUCCUGGCUGUUGGGGUCUUUCAAGCUGAGAGGUUGCCAACACAUGGGGCACUGGGAGCUUCUUUGACACCAUUCUAGAAUACACUGAAGAUGGAACUCAUGCUUGCAGCCUGUCACUGUAGAAGGAUCACUAUCAGAAAAUUCGUCAAGACAUAUGCUGCAAGCAUCAUCGCAGGCAUCCUGAAUUCCACCUUCCACAAAUGCUGCAGCCGAAGUCAAAAUAUCCUCAGACAUCUUGCCCUCCUCCAUCUCAAAAAAGCUUCAACUAAUAGGGAGGAUCAAAUUGAUCAGAUGAAUUUGGGUUUUUUGAGAGGUAACCACAGAAAGAAAAAGCGAGGAAGACUUUGAACUUUACCUUU
This 1585-nucleotide unclassified non-coding RNA is filed under the name Hevea brasiliensis (rubber tree). The record is from RNAcentral. Lineage: Eukaryota; Viridiplantae; Streptophyta; Magnoliopsida; Malpighiales; Euphorbiaceae.